UCACGUAUUUCAAAGGGUUCUCAUCUGGUAAUGAAGCCUUUUGGAAUGUGUGAAUUUUUUAUUUAAACGUAAGCCAAUUAUGUGACAAAUAAAAAAGCUCCAUGUUAAAUAAACUAUUGGAGGUAUAUCCCCAUGCAACAAGGAACAGUAAAAUGGUUCAACGCUGAGAAAGGCUUUGGCUUCAUCGAAGUGGAAGGCGGCAACGACGUAUUCGUACACUUCAGCGCAAUCGUAGGCGACGGCUUCAAGACGCUGGACGAAGGCCAAGCCGUAGAAUUCAACGUAGUUCAAGGCAACCGCGGACCGCAAGCUGAGAACGUUGUAAAGCUGUAAGCUUCAUUUC
Molecule: small RNA, 343 nt
Filed under: Gorillibacterium timonense
Lineage: Bacteria; Bacillati; Bacillota; Bacilli; Caryophanales; Paenibacillaceae
Description: cspA thermoregulator
Source: RNAcentral